This 328-nucleotide unclassified non-coding RNA is filed under the name soil metagenome. Its description in RNAcentral is "partial contains 5.8S ribosomal RNA, internal transcribed spacer 2, and large subunit ribosomal RNA". The stretch from base 1 to 120 matches the Rfam family "5.8S ribosomal RNA", at positions 35 to 154 of the family's 154-position model. The record is from RNAcentral.
GAUGAAGAACGCAGCGAAAUGCGAUAAGUAAUGUGAAUUGCAGAAUUCAGUGAAUCAUCGAAUCUUUGAACGCACAUUGCGCCCUCUGGUAUUCCGGAGGGCAUGCCUGUUCGAGCGUCAUUAUAACCACUCAAGCUCUCGCUUGGUAUUGGGGUUCGCGGUUCCGCGGCCCCUAAAAUCAGUGGCGGUGCCUGUCGGCUCUACGCGUAGUAAUACUCCUCGCGAUUGAGUCCGGUAGGUCUACUUGCCAGCAACCCCCAAUUUUUACAGGUUGACCUCGGAUCAGGUAGGGAUACCCGCUGAACUUAAGCAUAUCAAUAAGGGAGGA